UUUUAUUAUCUUUCUAAACAAUCAACAAUUAGAAAUCAAAACUAUAAUUAAUAUCACAAAAACGAAUUAAAGUAUUUAAAACAACAAGAAUUAAAAUCAAGAAAAUAGAAAAAAUAAUAAAUGAAAGGAUUUGGGACAGGGGGGUCAUAUCUGGAAAAUGGUGCAGGAAGUAAAUCCCGGGCGCAUGGGAUUUGGGUGACCAAAGGCCCAAUGAAUCUAUAGUCAUGGCAUGGGGUGUAGUGAGUAUUUAGGGAUGAUGGCAAGGAAUUCAAGGCUGUGCCCAUGUACAUGAGGCCCAACAAUCACAAUGCAAACAGUUUAGCACAUGUGACUUCAGCAAGUUAUUGGCACGUGGGAUAAUUGAACUCAAACUGAAUUUGAAUUGAACGGAAAACAUGCGCCAGCUCAAACAAUCAUCUUAGGUCAUACUCCGAUGAACCUCACCAUGGUCCACCGCGCCGGAAAUUGCCUCCGGCAGCGGUGGCCAUCCAAAAUGAAAAUUGGAUACACUGUUCCCCUCAUCUUGACCCUCUCGUCUAAAAAAUGCCAUCAAUUUCACCAGAGUUUGAGUCUAUAACCUUAACCGCAACGAAAUCACCAAGAACCCUAAUACUUCAAUCUUAAAUUAAAUUCCCUCUUUGAAGAUUCAAAGCCCAUGGGAUUGGGGCUUUGAAUCCACUUUCAUUUCUCUACAUGCUAGAAACAAGAAAUUGAUGGAAUGAGGAAUUCUAUACUCAUCAUGCCGAAGACCUUGAAGCUGAUGUCGAUGAUGGAACUCCAUGUAGGUAUAUCUGAAUCUCUUCCUUGCUAGAAAUCCUCUCCUCCUUCUUUGUCAUUCUUUCUUCUUUUUGAUGUUUUUGUUGUGAAUGUCGACUAAGUGCUAUGAGGUUCUGAUCUUGAGGGAUUGAUGUAGUAUGAUGAAGACUUGAGGUUGAUUCGAGCUCAGUGCUCAAAUGAUUCAGAGGAUGAUGAAGGUGAAGGUGCCCCUUUGGAGAGAGUGAGUUGUGCAUUUGAGUGCAUGUUUAGGUGAUUGAAGAUGAAAGAGGGUUUGAAAUUCUGGUUCUAAGUGAGGUAAAGUGGUGAGAGUUCAGAUGAAAUGUCUAAUGAUUGGAGAGAGUUCUUGUGAUUAUGUUAUUGGUGAUGAUUGUGGAUUAAAAAAGAAGAUGAGGAUCGAGAGUGAGAAAAUGGUAGAGAGUUUGAAUGAUCAAUCAUUGGCCAACUCAAAAUGAGAUGAUUGGACCCAUUUAUAGGUGGUUAGGGCUUUGGAGUUUGUGAAAUUCGGUUAUGGAAUUGUGUUAGGAGUUGGUUAGAGUUUGUUAUAGAGUGAGUGAAAUCAGUUAGCAAAUUCAGUUAGAGUUGUAACUAACUUUUUAUGCAAUUCGAGGCUAAUUAGUUUUCUGUUAGUUGUAACUACUUCUCGAGUUAGGUUAGUUAUCAUUGAGUGUGGGUUAGUUGAUGUGGUAGGUUAAUUGUUCAAUUGAUGUGCUUUGUGAACUGUAUUAUUUAAACUGCUGCUACCUGGUGCAUUGCUGCAAACUUAUUAUUUUUUAUUUGGUGUGUAUGCCAUAUGCUAGCUUAUGGUUAUGUUUGGAAUGCUUAUGUUAUGAAUACCAUUGUUUGAUACGCCCUUCAUGAUUGGUGCAUGAUGUUUAUGGUGGAUGCAUUGAAUACUUGUGUAUGAUUUCUUUGAAUGAUUUACAAUACUUGACAUGAGCUAAUGCAUUGUUGUGAUUUCCCUGCAGGUGAGGUUAGGAUGCAUGGUUUGCUUGGUCCUGAUGUUGCAGGGUUGGUGAUGCAAUAGGUAAGGUGUUUUUGGCUUGGCAUUUGUUGCAGGCCUUGUGUAUGGUUCAUGUUGCAGGUAUGCAUUAGCUGGUAGGAUUGCAUUUGCUGCAAGUAGAUUGUAUGCACAAUUAGCAUGGCUUCGUUGGUGAUAUUAUGUUAUGUGAUUAGUUAACUUUGGUUUUGUUGCAAUGCUUUGAUGUUGAACUAUUGUAUAUGGAUUGUGGUUAUGCCAUUGCAGGUUUUGUAUGGUUGGCUAUAAGUGUGGCAUAUUAUUGAUUGCACUGCAAGAGGCUUGUAUUAACUGCUAUGCUUUUGAGCAUGUUUCAUAAUUAUUUAUGGAGUUGUGGUUCAUUGCAGAACUUGGCCUUAAUGCAUUACCAAGGCAGGUCCAGGAUUUAUAAAGGUAUUGUAUUUAAUGGUUUUUGUUUCAAUACUUGCAGGACUGACUUAGGUGAUUGUAACGUGAAUUAUGACUGCAACAAGUAUGCAUUAUUUCUGAUGUUGUAUUCUAGAAGACCUGGAUGUGGUGGAAGUGUUGCAGUAGGUAUGAUCCCAUUCCUAGCCUAGCCUUGCAAUUUCAUGGUACUUCAUAUUUCACCAUGUUCUGAUAUUGUGGCAUGAUUUGUGGCAAGGUUCUACAGAAUUGUGGAUUAUAGUCUUGUUAUGCAUUGCAGAAUUAGGGCAUGUUGCAUUGAUGCUUGGCACGACUUGGUUUUUGUUGUAACAUGAUUAACAUGGCCUACUGACUGAUGGCUUGCUUAUGCCCUACAGGUUUUCUUGCAAGAUGAAGUGUUUGGCCCAAUUCAGAAUGGUAUUGACUUAUGGUUCAUGCAGGUCAUUUGAAUGUGUAUGGUUUUGCACUUGGUGUUGGUGGGACAUGGCAUGCACCAAGUGGCUUGCAAAGUGAAUGACACAAGUUUGAAUUUGGAGUAAAAGGCCAAUUCAAGGACCAAGGAUCAAAAUUGGCAUUUGGAUUAGAAUUAGGAUGUGAUUUAAGGUUUUUUAGGAUUGGGUUGACUUUGAUCAAAGUUGACCAAAAAGUCAAUGUUGACAAAAGUCACACAUUUGGUUAAAACUUCAUUUUUUUUGUUUUUCCUCAUGUAAUGGAUAUUUAUAUGAUUAUGUAAUGAAUGAAAUUGAUAUAUUUUGAAUAAAUUGGAUUGGUUCUGGAAUGUAUGUUUGAAUGGAAUUGAUUGAUUUUGAAA
RNAcentral lists this long non-coding RNA (2987 nucleotides) under Lathyrus oleraceus (garden pea). Its description in RNAcentral is "Pisum sativum (pea) long non-coding RNA (PSAT_LNC035629)". The record is from RNAcentral. Lineage: Eukaryota; Viridiplantae; Streptophyta; Magnoliopsida; Fabales; Fabaceae.